This 253-nucleotide ribosomal RNA is filed under the name uncultured bacterium. RNAcentral describes it as "partial 16S ribosomal RNA". It matches the Rfam family "Bacterial small subunit ribosomal RNA", at positions 524 to 776 of the family's 1533-position model. The record is from RNAcentral.
UACGUAGGGUGCAGGCGUUAAUCGGAAUUACUGGGCGUAAAGGGCGCGUAGGCGGCCUGGCAAGUGGCGGGUGAAAUCCCUCGGCUUAACCGAGGAACUGCCUGUCAGACUGCUUGGCUUGAGACCGGGAGAGGUGAGUGGAAUUCCCAGUGUAGCGGUGAAAUGCGUAGAUAUUGGGAGGAACACCAGUGGCGAAGGCGGCUCACUGGACCGGUACUGACGCUGAGGCGCGAAAGCGUGGGGAGCAAACAGG